This 22-nucleotide microRNA is filed under the name Sarcophilus harrisii (Tasmanian devil). RNAcentral's name for it is "Sha-Mir-24-P3_5p* (star (passenger))". The record is from RNAcentral. Lineage: Eukaryota; Metazoa; Chordata; Mammalia; Dasyuromorphia; Dasyuridae. RNAcentral also lists the same sequence under 4 other names.
GUGCCUACUGAGCUGAAACACA